RNAcentral lists this ribosomal RNA (501 nucleotides) under uncultured bacterium. RNAcentral describes it as "partial 16S ribosomal RNA". It matches the Rfam family "Bacterial small subunit ribosomal RNA", at positions 29 to 523 of the family's 1533-position model. The record is from RNAcentral.
AUUGAACGCUGGCGGCAUGCCUUACACAUGCAAGUCGAACGGCAGCACGGGUGCUUGCACCUGGUGGCGAGUGGCGAACGGGUGAGUAAUACAUCGGAACGUACCUUAUCGUGGGGGAUAACGCAGUGAAAGCUGUGCUAAUACCGCAUACGCCCUGAGGGGGAAAGCGGGGGAUCGAAAGACCUCGCGCGAUUAGAGCGGCCGAUGCCUGAUUAGCUUGUUGGUGGGGUAAAAGCCCACCAAGGCGACGAUCAGUAGCGGGUCUGAGAGGACGAUCAGCCACACUGGGACUGAGACACGGCCCAGACUCCGACGGGAGGCAGCAGUGGGGAAUUUUGGACAAUGGGGGCAACCCUGAUCCAGCAAUGCCGCGUGAGUGAAGAAGGCCUUCGGGUUGUAAAGCUCUUUUGUCAGGGAAGAAACACCGGCUCUAACACAGUCCGGGAAUGACGGUACCUGAAGAAUAAGCACCGGCUAACUACGUGCCAGCAGCCGCCGUAA